This 944-nucleotide long non-coding RNA is filed under the name Equus caballus (horse). Its description in RNAcentral is "lncRNA (ENSECAG00000056131.1)". The record is from RNAcentral. Lineage: Eukaryota; Metazoa; Chordata; Mammalia; Perissodactyla; Equidae.
GCUUUUGAGGCUGAAUGUUCAACCUGCCAGCAAGACUGAUUGUGAGCACCUCUGAUAUGAGGCCACCUCUAAAGCAGACUAAGAAACCCUUUGUUGGCAAGUUGAUUACACUAAAACCCUCAAUACUUGAAAAGGCAGCAAUCGAUUUUGAUUGGGAUUGACAGACUUUGAAGCCCCUUAAUCUUCAGUGUUAUUAGCUCAGCUAUCCAUUGUCCUUCAGCGUCUCAGAUGAAUGACUGAUUUAACUUGGAUCAGGGGAGGAUCACAGCCCAGUUGACUGCAGGUAGGCAGGAAGAUGGAGUCAUGGAUUUCAACAAGCUCUCCAGAUAUGUCUUUUCUGGAGACUCAACAAAAAAUGCAAAAGUACAAACAAGCAUUUAUUCUGGUCAAUCAAGGACAAAUACAGAGAGAACUAGAAAACACUCCAACAAAGAUGUGAAUGAAACUGGGACUCCUCUCUCCCUCGUCAAACAGGCAAAUCUAGCAAGUGAGCUGCAUACGCUUAAAGUCAGUACAAUAAAAAUCCAUGCUCUGCUGUGAGGAAGCCAUGCAGGCCUCAUAAGCCUGUCUCUAUACAAUCUUGCAACCCAUCGUCUCAUGACUGAAGAUGCCAGCAGGAUGAAUCAGCAUCAGGAAGAGAAAAUGGGUACCUUGCUCUCACAUUUCCCAGCUGCGUUUAUUAGAGAUUGAGGGGAAAAGUGACAACCCUGGUCUUGCCUCCCUCCACACAUAGAUAAUACCAACAUUCCAAGCCUUGCUUGAUGUAUAACCAAAAAGCUCUUGUUCAUUUUAUCUUUGAAGUAUAUGAAUAUCACAUGUGUAAGCCCUUAUUGCUUUGUUAAAAAGUAUAUAAACUACACUCAUAUCUGUGGAUCUCGAAGUAGUUCCUCAGAAUACUCUGUUUGACUAUUUCCCAGGACUCAAGUUCCUCACUUUGGUUAUCA